UACGGGGGGGGGCAAGCGUUGUUCGGAAUUACUGGGCGUAAAGGGCUCGUAGGCGGCCAACUAAGUCAUACGUGAAAUCCCUCGGCUUAACCGGGGAACUGCGUCUGAUACUGGAUGGCUUGAGUUUGGGAGAGGGAUGCGGAAUUCCAGGUGUAGCGGUGAAAUGCGUAGAUAUCUGGAGGAACACCGGUGGCGAAGGCGGCAUCCUGGACCAACACUGACGCUGAGGAGCGAAAGCCAGGGGAGCAAACGGG
Molecule: ribosomal RNA, 254 nt
Filed under: uncultured bacterium
Lineage: Bacteria
Description: partial 16S ribosomal RNA
Rfam family: Bacterial small subunit ribosomal RNA
Source: RNAcentral